Oreochromis aureus is the source of this 2673-nucleotide long non-coding RNA. RefSeq lists it as uncharacterized. NCBI's taxonomy places the organism in Eukaryota, Metazoa, Chordata, Actinopteri, Cichliformes, Cichlidae. The transcript has 4 exons. The record is from RefSeq and is a predicted model, not a curated record.
AGCUGCUGACCUAGUUACCCAUUGCACACUGGCAAACAGCAAGGAGGGAAAAACAGAGUCAAGCUUUUGCUUAAUGCUGUUUUCACUCGAGCUGUGGCAUAGCUUCGCGGGGAAACAGAUCCGUUUCUUUGGAUGUUUGGCCUGAGAAGAAGAGUUUCUGUUGUGCCGUCUUGUCUUGCUGGGGAGUGUUAGUGUCAGCUGCACAGAGAGAGUUACUCCCCAACAACUUCUAAGCUUCUCCCCAUCAACCUCCUCCAGCUGAUCCAGCAGGACACCAGACACUUUGCUUUUAUGGAAAGCUCUCUUCACAACAACGGACUGAGUGCUCCCUGAAUCUGCUGAAGGACCAGCACUGCUCUCAAUGACUGGUGCUUCCCCUCCUCUGCUGGUGUCAAAGCGGCUAGAGAAACCUUUCAGGAAAUCAGGACCAGGCUCUGGGUUGCAGGGUGCAGAGCACAAUUGGGACUUUGGCAUAUCUCAUCAGCCAGAGCCAGGAGAUCAGAUGAGAUGACUGGAUCUCCUCCAGAGGUGGCCAAACCGGACCAGAGGAGUGUGGUGUUACAGUGAGCUGCGACCGAGCACUAAGUGGAGGGGCGGCUGCCGAUGUUUCCACAGCAGGAGAUGUGUAGAGAAGAUAGGUGCUUCUCUUGUGUUAGCCACACAUGAAAACCCCAUGAUAAGUUUCCUAAGUUCCCACUUUGGUCACUGCAUAUCAGUUUAUAAAAGUGAGUAUGUCAGCAGGCAAUGUUCACAGACAGCUAUAGCUUGAGGGUAACAAACAGUUUGCAGACAGACAUUAAUGACCUUAUAGUACUGUAUCACCACAAUAGAGGACUGCUGGCUUACUUGUGGUUCCUAGGGUAUUUAAAAGCAGAAUUUUAGGCAGAGUCUUCUGUCACGGAUCGGCAGAAUCAUAAACCCACUUGCUAAGUACUGGGAAAGAUUAAACAGGUAUAUUCACAGGUAAGUGAAUAAAUGUAGAGUUAAAGCAAUCUGUGAUUGCAUUAAAGAUCUGGGAGAGGUGAUGAAGGUAUGCAGGCUUUUCCAAUCUGCACACACACACUGUCAUAUUAAGCUCAAUCAUAUAAGGCCUCAGAGUACAUGGUGAGAUCUGGCUGACAUGAUGACUUAGAAUCCACUUCAGUCUUAAAUAUUCAGCUGAUCUGCUAAAAUGUGCACAGCCAAAAGGAAGACAGAGACCAUAGGUGGAGCCACCCCUGAAGGAAGGUAAAACAUGUCCACAAGCACACGAACACUGACAGGAGAGAGCAAGAAAGAGAGAAAAGGAAGGCAUGUGUUUUUACAGCUGCAUUUAAUCAUUAGCAAUUCAUUUUAAACUCUCUGUUUCUGUCUCUCUCUCUCUCUCUCCUAUAAAUUGCCUUAUGUCCUGUCUGUGUUCCUUUCUCUUUUCUUGCACCUGCUAAUGCCAGAUAGCUGCUCCUUUCUAAUAUUGUAGGGUCUUUAUCUUAAAAUAUAAAGUGAGGUGACUGUUGUGACAACAAAACAGGGCUUUCUGGUCAUUCUUAUAGACCUAAUUUUUUCUAAAGCUCAAUUAUGCAUAUGCAACUCUUAAAAUUAGAACCCACGCUCAAAUGUAUACUUUUUCAGGAUUCAAAGACAUUGAACACUUGAUUAGUAACAAAUGAAAAACACAAUUAGUAAAAGUGGCUUUAAAACCAAGAAAUAGCCACUGAAACUGGACUAAUAAAGGGUGUAAUUCCUAACAAAUGAGGACCAAUGAUUAUACUGCUGUCAGUCUUUUCUGCCCUCUGGUGGUUAGUCUGCUGAAACACACAUGAAGAUUUCUUUGUGCUGUAUGGAUUUCACGAUGGUUCUGCAAUUAUCAUAUAUUUAUCCAGAUAAAUACUAGUUAGUUAAAAAACAAAGGAAAGACUACCAACCUUAUGAUAAGUACAUUUACUGUUUACCUCCUGAGCUACAGCUGUGAGACCAGCUUUAAUGCUCCUACACAGCAAUUCUCCAUUUCUCUGUGUGAGGGUUGAACAACAUUCUUCAUUCUCAGCACUGUCAAUUCAAUUCAAAUCUAUUUUAUUUAUAUAGCACCAAAUUAUAAAAACAGUCACCUCAAAGCACUUUAUGCUGUAAGGUAAAGAGCCUGCAAUAAUAAAGGAAGGAAUAGUAGGAAGAAACCUCUGGCAGAACCAGGCACAGGGAGAUCUGAUGAGCGUGAAUGGAUUUGUUCAUGGGAAUCAUCAUCCUGAAAAAGAUUACUGCCAUUAGAAUAGGAAUCUGUUACAGUAGGAUAAAGGGGGUCAGUAAGAACAACUUUGUAUGGUGGGAAUGUGCUAAGAUACUGGAGCAGAGCAGGCUGCAGCACAGAUUGUGCUUCUAGUGUAAAAUGAGUUCAAACUAGUCUUUGAGAAUCACAAGAGUUUCUAUUUCCAAGUCUGGAGGAGUUCGCUGAAUCCUUAAAACCCCUUUAAAUAAACAUUUAGUUUGUAACUUGUUUCAAUGCAGCAAAAAUCAAGACCUCAAAUAAAAAUUUAUUUUCUGUUGUUUGUGGGAUCUGGAUGUCAUAAUUAGAAAUAUGGUAUCUAACCAGAUGCUUACUUACCUUGGGCUCCAGUAACACUGUGAGGAAUGGUGGAGUUGUUUUUGACCAGGAAAUGUCAUUUAAUACUAAACAAAUAUGUUACCCUGUUAAAAGGUAGU